This 609-nucleotide unclassified non-coding RNA is filed under the name Zea mays. RNAcentral's name for it is "misc RNA Zm00001eb428200". Lineage: Eukaryota; Viridiplantae; Streptophyta; Magnoliopsida; Poales; Poaceae. The record is from RNAcentral.
UUGGCGGCCGUGCGCGUCUCGGUGCACUGCACUCAAGGGGCGAGGGCGAGGCACCUUGCUUGCGGUCAUGCGUUUCCAGAUUCCAUGGGUUCAUCAGUCCGGCAGGCUUCGUCCCGGGGAGCAGCUUUUAUCGAGAUCUGCGCUGGAGCAAGAUGCAUUGCACCGGAUGCGUUGCGCUUUCAUAAUUGGAGCUCAAAUUCACGGAUGCUUUCCGUCCCGUGCGUGGCGUGGGCGCCGACCGAGUGGAGGAUGGCGCGUAAAAGUGCGUGCCGGAGCGAUGGCUUUGGCGUGGACUGCGGACCAUACGUGCGGCACUGCUGUGCUGCUGGUGGCUGGACUCUGCUGCGCAGGCGCCCAAAAGAUCCCAUCAGGGAAGGGAAAACAGAAACAAGAGGAGCAGAGGCGCAGAGCACGUAUGGCGUCGAUAUCCAAGUUUUCAACCCGCGGGUUGUCUGGAUCUGUCUCCUACUCGCCUUCUUCAGCUUUCGACUGUCGACUCUUUCAGAUCCACCCCCCGCUCACAAAGCUCGUGCGGCGCAGUGGCGGGCAGCCAACCGGGAGCGCCAGCGCCUGCGCCUCCACCUCCACCGACGGGAUUCUCUUGCUUGA